Triticum aestivum (bread wheat) is the source of this 141-nucleotide non-coding RNA. The record is from Rfam. Lineage: Eukaryota; Viridiplantae; Streptophyta; Magnoliopsida; Poales; Poaceae.
CUUGUACUCCCUCCGUCGCAAAAUUCUUGUCUUAAAUUUGCCUAAAUACUGAUGUAUCUAAUACUAAAAAGUGACUUGACAUAUCCGUAUUUAAACAAAACUAAAAUCUAAGACAGGAAUUUUGGGACGGGGGAGUAUUUG